RNAcentral lists this transfer RNA (72 nucleotides) under Camelus bactrianus (Bactrian camel). It matches the Rfam family "tRNA". Rfam says of the family: Transfer RNA (tRNA) molecules are approximately 80 nucleotides in length. Their secondary structure includes four short double-helical elements and three loops (D, anti-codon, and T loops). Further hydrogen bonds mediate the characteristic L-shaped molecular structure. tRNAs have two regions of fundamental functional importance: the anti-codon, which is responsible for specific mRNA codon recognition, and the 3' end, to which the tRNAs corresponding amino acid is attached (by aminoacyl-tRNA synthetases). tRNAs cope with the degeneracy of the genetic code in two manners: having more than one tRNA (with a specific anti-codon) for a particular amino acid; and 'wobble' base-pairing, i.e. permitting non-standard base-pairing at the 3rd anti-codon position. The record is from Rfam by way of RNAcentral. Lineage: Eukaryota; Metazoa; Chordata; Mammalia; Artiodactyla; Camelidae. RNAcentral also lists the same sequence under 2 other names.
GCGGGUGUAGCUCAGUGGUAGAGCGCAUGCUCAGCAUAUAGGAAGUCCUGGGUUCAAUUCCCAGUACCUCCA